GAUGAAGAACGUAGCGAAAUACGAUAAGUAAUGUGAAUUGCAGAAUUCAGUGAAUCAUCGAAUCUUUGAACGCACAUUGCGCCCCUUGGUAUUCCGAGGGGCAUGCCUGUUCGAGCGUCAUUAUAACCCCUCAAGCUUAGCUUGGUGUUGGGGCUUGCUGUAAUAGAGCAGCCCUUAAAAUCAGUGGCGGUGCCAUUAGGCUCUAAGCGUAGUAAUUCUUCUCGCUAUAGGGUUCUGGUGGAUGCUUGCCAUUAACCUCUAAUUUUCUAUGGUUGACCUCGGAUCAGGUAGGGAUACCCGCUGAACUUAAGCAUAUCAAUAAGCGGAGGA
This 330-nucleotide unclassified non-coding RNA is filed under the name soil metagenome. RNAcentral's name for it is "partial contains 5.8S ribosomal RNA, internal transcribed spacer 2, and large subunit ribosomal RNA". The stretch from base 1 to 120 matches the Rfam family "5.8S ribosomal RNA", at positions 35 to 154 of the family's 154-position model. The record is from RNAcentral.